RNAcentral lists this ribosomal RNA (465 nucleotides) under Vreelandella stevensii. RNAcentral describes it as "partial 16S ribosomal RNA". It matches the Rfam family "Bacterial small subunit ribosomal RNA", at positions 338 to 795 of the family's 1533-position model. Lineage: Bacteria; Pseudomonadati; Pseudomonadota; Gammaproteobacteria; Oceanospirillales; Halomonadaceae. The record is from RNAcentral.
CCUACGGGAGGCAGCAGUGGGGAAUAUUGGACAAUGGGGGGAACCCCGAUCCAGCCAUGCCGCGUGUGUGAAGAAGGCCCUCGGGUUGUAAAGCACUUUCAGUGAGGAAGAACGCCUGGUGGUUAAUACCCAUCAGGAAAGACAUCACUCACAGAAGAAGCACCGGCUAACUCCGUGCCAGCAGCCGCGGUAAUACGGAGGGUGCGAGCGUUAAUCGGAAUUACUGGGCGUAAAGCGCGCGUAGGUGGCUUGAUAAGCCGGUUGUGAAAGCCCCGGGCUCAACCUGGGAACGGCAUCCGGAACUGUCAAGCUAGAGUGCAGGAGAGGAAGGUAGAAUUCCCGGUGUAGCGGUGAAAUGCGUAGAGAUCGGGAGGAAUACCAGUGGCGAAGGCGGCCUUCUGGACUGACACUGACACUGAGGUGCGAAAGCGUGGGUAGCAAACAGGAUUAGAUACCCCAGUAGUC